UGCAAAUAGCUGCCGACGAAACUCUCGCUCUCGCCGCCUAAAUAAACGCGGCGACGUCCCCCGGAGCUCCGCCUGCCGGCUCCGGGUAGGGCGACAGAGAGGCGGGCUGGGCUACUUCCCGCGCCCUCCGGGGGUAGCCGAGAGCUAAGAGGGCUGGCUCUGGGACGCCUGCCCGUGGGCUAAUCCCAGAGCGAGAAGUAAAACACGGGCUAAGCCUGUAGAAGCUACCCGAGCCGCAUCUCCGGACGCGGGUUCGAAUCCCGCCACCUCCACCA
This 275-nucleotide transfer-messenger RNA is filed under the name Phorcysia thermohydrogeniphila. It matches the Rfam family "transfer-messenger RNA", at positions 82 to 374 of the family's 374-position model. Rfam says of the family: Bacterial tmRNA, also known as 10Sa RNA or SsrA, is named for its dual tRNA and mRNA-like properties. Its role is to liberate the mRNA from a stalled ribosome. The record is from RNAcentral. Lineage: Bacteria; Pseudomonadati; Aquificota; Aquificia; Desulfurobacteriales; Desulfurobacteriaceae.